This 163-nucleotide ribosomal RNA is filed under the name Spartium junceum. RNAcentral describes it as "5.8S ribosomal RNA". It matches the Rfam family "5.8S ribosomal RNA". From Rfam's summary of the family: 5.8S ribosomal RNA (5.8S rRNA) is a component of the large subunit of the eukaryotic ribosome. Lineage: Eukaryota; Viridiplantae; Streptophyta; Magnoliopsida; Fabales; Fabaceae. The record is from RNAcentral.
AAGACUCUCGGCAACGGAUAUCUCGGCUCUUGCAUCGAUGAAGAACGUAGCGAAAUGCGAUACUUGGUGUGAAUUGCAGAAUCCCGUGAACCAUCGAGUCUUUGAACGCAAGUUGCGCCCGAAGCCUUUAGGCCGAGGGCACGCCUGCCUGGGUGUUGCACAU